This 262-nucleotide long non-coding RNA is filed under the name Lathyrus oleraceus (garden pea). RNAcentral describes it as "Pisum sativum (pea) long non-coding RNA (PSAT_LNC023326)". Lineage: Eukaryota; Viridiplantae; Streptophyta; Magnoliopsida; Fabales; Fabaceae. The record is from RNAcentral.
UUUUUUCAGGUUAUAAAUCUACUCAUACAAAAACGGAAAUAAGUAGUAACUUUGAGAAAUAUAAAAAAUGUCUUCAUUUUUAAAAUUAUUAUCUUUCUUAUCAUUUUUUUCUUCUUAAUAUCUUUUUCCAUUUAUUUUGUUUUUCCGGUUUGUAGGUUUACCGUUACAAAGACAAAAACGGAUAGUAACUUUCAAAAAUAUAAGUGCAAACAUAAGUAAAUAUUUUAGGAGACAAAAUUUUAAUUUUAUAUAUACCUUUGUG